GGAAGGAUCAUUAUCGAAUUGUCAAACACGGGUUGUUGCUGGCCCCCAAACGGGGCAUGUGCACGCUCUGUUUACACAUCCACUCACACCUGUGCACCCUCUGUAGUUCUGUGGACCGGGAGACGUUGUCUUCCUUCCGUAGCUCUACGUCUUUACACACACACCGUAGCGAUGUCUCAUGGAAUGUUUUUUCGCGUUUAACGCAAUACAAUACAACUUUCAGCAACGGAUCUCUUGGCUCUCGCAUCGAUGAAGAACGCAGCGAAAUGCGAUAAGUAAUGUGAAUUGCAGAAUUCAGUGAAUCAUCGAAUCUUUGAACGCACCUUGCGCCCCUUGGUUAUUCCUCGGAGCAUGCCUGUUUGAGUAUCAUGAACACCUCAACUCUCAUGGUCUUCCAUGAUGAGCUUGGACUUUGGGGGUUUGCUGGCCUUGUGGCCGGCUCCUCUCAAAUGAAUCAGCUUGCCAGUGUUUGGCGGCGUCACGGGUGUGAUAACUAUCUACGCUCGCGGUUGUCCGUCAGGUAACCCUCAGCGAUGAAGGUUCAUUGGGGCUCAUAAACGUCUCUCCCCAGCGAGGACAACUUUUGAACGUUCGAUCUCAAAUCAGG
RNAcentral lists this small RNA (607 nucleotides) under uncultured fungus. RNAcentral describes it as "eukaryotic LSU rRNA". The stretch from base 215 to 369 matches the Rfam family "5.8S ribosomal RNA". The record is from RNAcentral. Lineage: Eukaryota; Fungi.